Non-coding RNA from Streptomyces sp. IB2014 011-1, 63 nucleotides. The record is from Rfam. NCBI's taxonomy places the organism in Bacteria, Bacillati, Actinomycetota, Actinomycetes, Kitasatosporales, Streptomycetaceae.
CGCCCGGCCGGAUCCCGUGGGGGGAAUCCGCUCCGGGAUAUGGGAAGCGCCCUGACCGUCGAC